Molecule: ribosomal RNA, 644 nt
Filed under: Escherichia coli
Lineage: Bacteria; Pseudomonadati; Pseudomonadota; Gammaproteobacteria; Enterobacterales; Enterobacteriaceae
Also listed under: 1 other name
Description: bacterial LSU rRNA
Rfam family: Bacterial large subunit ribosomal RNA
Source: RNAcentral
CUGUAAGCCUGUGAAGGUGUGCUGUGAGGCAUGCUGGAGGUAUCAGAAGUGCGAAUGCUGACAUAAGUAACGAUAAAGCGGGUGAAAAGCCCGCUCGCCGGAAGACCAAGGGUUCCUGUCCAACGUUAAUCGGGGCAGGGUGAGUCGACCCCUAAGGCGAGGCCGAAAGGCGUAGUCGAUGGGAAACAGGUUAAUAUUCCUGUACUUGGUGUUACUGCGAAGGGGGGACGGAGAAGGCUAUGUUGGCCGGGCGACGGUUGUCCCGGUUUAAGCGUGUAGGCUGGUUUUCCAGGCAAAUCCGGAAAAUCAAGGCUGAGGCGUGAUGACGAGGCACUACGGUGCUGAAGCAACAAAUGCCCUGCUUCCAGGAAAAGCCUCUAAGCAUCAGGUAACAUCAAAUCGUACCCCAAACCGACACAGGUGGUCAGGUAGAGAAUACCAAGGCGCUUGAGAGAACUCGGGUGAAGGAACUAGGCAAAAUGGUGCCGUAACUUCGGGAGAAGGCACGCUGAUAUGUAGGUGAAGUCCCUCGCGGAUGGAGCUGAAAUCAGUCGAAGAUACCAGCUGGCUGCAACUGUUUAUUAAAAACACAGCACUGUGCAAACACGAAAGUGGACGUAUACGGUGUGACGCCUGCCCGGUGC